Long non-coding RNA from Bombyx mori (domestic silkworm), 320 nucleotides. RefSeq lists it as uncharacterized. Lineage: Eukaryota; Metazoa; Arthropoda; Insecta; Lepidoptera; Bombycidae. The transcript is spliced from 2 exons. The record is from RefSeq and is a predicted model, not a curated record.
ACCUUUUUGUACGUAAAAUUAGAUAGAAGAAAUAAAUGAGACAAUUGAUUAAUACAACGAAAUAGAAAUGAAUGAGGUGUUUCAUCUUCCAGAUCGGGUGGUGUAGUUUUAUCACCAUAUCUUAAUACAAUAUCAAAUUUUUUAAGGAUCUCUGUAAUGAUUUUUACUUCAUUAUCUGUAGCAUAUAAGCACCAGUAUUUCUGAAGACUAUCAUAGAAAGCCAAAUGAUUGUUAUUUACUACUAUUUGCAAUUUUGUUGAAACUAUUGUACUUGAUAAUGUAGUUUUGUUAGAAUCAUAAAGCACUAUGUUGUGAAUUUC